This is a long non-coding RNA of Quercus lobata, 372 nucleotides long. RefSeq lists it as uncharacterized. The record is from RefSeq and is a predicted model, not a curated record. Lineage: Eukaryota; Viridiplantae; Streptophyta; Magnoliopsida; Fagales; Fagaceae. The transcript has 2 exons.
CAAGGUACUGUUUCUUUCAGUGGUCAGUUCUUCCAGUUGUUUUGACUCUCAUCGCCACACAGCCAAAAGAUAGUGAAUUUAUGAAGAUUUUAACUGAUCUAUGCUACUCUAAGUGGGCUUUGGAAGGAUUCAUCAUUGCAAAUGCUGAAAGGUAUUAUGGAGUGUGGCUGAUAACUAGGUGUGGUUCGAUCACUUCUAAAAAGUGGUUAUAACCUUCAUCAUUGGAGUCUAUGUUUAGCCAUCCUUAUCCUAACUGGAAUUUUUAGUCGUGUGAUAGCAUUUUUUUGUAUGCGGAUCUUCCAAAAGAAGUGAGAUCAGACUAAUUGACAUUCUUUUUCCAUACUACACAUACACAAACCACAAUUUAUGCUA